CCUACGGGGGGCAGCAGUGGGGAAUAUUGGACAAUGGGGGAAACCCUGAUCCAGCGACGCCGCGUGAGUGAAGAAGUAUUUCGGUACGUAAAGCUCUAUCAGCAGGAAAGAAAAUGACGGUACCUGACUAAGAAGCCCCGGCUAACUACGUGCCAGCAGCCGCGGUAAUACGUAGGGGGCAAGCGUUAUCCGGAUUUACUGGGUGUAAAGGGAGCGUAGACGGCAGCGCAAGUCUGGAGUGAAAUGCCGGGGCCCAACCCCGGAACUGCUCUGGAAACUGUGAAGCUGGAGUGCAGGAGAGGUAA
This 305-nucleotide ribosomal RNA is filed under the name uncultured bacterium. RNAcentral's name for it is "bacterial SSU rRNA". It matches the Rfam family "Bacterial small subunit ribosomal RNA", at positions 338 to 660 of the family's 1533-position model. The record is from RNAcentral.